CAGCAGCCGCGGUAAUACGAAGGGUGCAAGCGUUAAUCGGAAUUACUGGGCGUAAAGCGUGCGUAGGCGGUGAGUUAAGUCUGCUGUGAAAUCCCCGGGCUCAACCUGGGAAUGGCAGUGGAUACUGGCUCGCUAGAGUGUGUCAGAGGAUGGUGGAAUUCCCGGUGUAGCGGUGAAAUGCGUAGAGAUCGGAAGGAACAUCUGUGGCGAAGGCGACUAUCUGGGCCAACACUGACACUGAGGCACGAAAGCGUAGGGAGCAAACAGGAUUAGAGACCCCCGUAGUCCCUGUCUCUUAUAC
RNAcentral lists this ribosomal RNA (301 nucleotides) under uncultured bacterium. RNAcentral describes it as "partial 16S ribosomal RNA". It matches the Rfam family "Bacterial small subunit ribosomal RNA", at positions 509 to 807 of the family's 1533-position model. The record is from RNAcentral.